UUUAAUGAGAGUUUGAUCCUGGCUCAGGACGAACGCUGGCGGCGUGCCUAAUACAUGCAAGUAGAACGCUGAGGUUUGGUGUUUACACUAGACUGAUGAGUUGCGAACGGGUGAGUAACGCGUAGGUAACCUGCCUCAUAGCGGGGGAUAACUAUUGGAAACGAUAGCUAAUACCGCAUAAGA
This 183-nucleotide ribosomal RNA is filed under the name Streptococcus agalactiae MRI Z1-214. RNAcentral describes it as "partial 16S ribosomal RNA". It matches the Rfam family "Bacterial small subunit ribosomal RNA", at positions 1 to 178 of the family's 1533-position model. Lineage: Bacteria; Bacillati; Bacillota; Bacilli; Lactobacillales; Streptococcaceae. The record is from RNAcentral.